GAAUGCUGACAUAAGUAACGAUAAAGCGGGUGAAAAGCCCGCUCGCCGGAAGACCAAGGGUUCCUGUCCAACGUUAAUCGGGGCAGGGUGAGUCGACCCCUAAGGCGAGGCCGAAAGGCGUAGUCGAUGGGAAACAGGUUAAUAUUCCUGUACUUGGUGUUACUGCGAAGGGGGGACGGAGAAGGCUAUGUUAGCCGGGCGACGGUUGUCCCGGUUUAAGCAUGUAGGCUGGUUAUCCAGGCAAAUCCGGAUAAUCAA
Molecule: ribosomal RNA, 258 nt
Filed under: Klebsiella pneumoniae
Lineage: Bacteria; Pseudomonadati; Pseudomonadota; Gammaproteobacteria; Enterobacterales; Enterobacteriaceae
Also listed under: 3 other names
Description: partial 23S ribosomal RNA
Rfam family: Bacterial large subunit ribosomal RNA
Source: RNAcentral